CCCUAUGGGGUGCAGGCUGAAGGUUGAAAGUUACAGGUUGGCUCGCUGGUGGCAGAAACCUGCAACCAGCAAUCCGCGACCUGCAGCCAAGUCGUCAUGUCCUGCUGAAAACUCUCCUGCGUUUUGAGUUUAUCAGUGACGACGACGAUGGAGCGCCGGGGGAAGAGACGCCGCAGCAUAACUGCCAGGAACGGUUGGGCGGCCACGCUCACGCCGGCACAAGCCAACGCGCCGCCCGCCGCCACUCGCCGGGCAAGGGAUUGCACGGCGGGGGUCUGGGCGACCCGCGCGAACAGGCUGCCUGUCGCGGGGACUUCGUUUUCCUGCGCCAAGCAGUGGAUAGUCCGCAAUCUGCGCGCCGGCCGUCAAGCGGGCGCUCCACUCCGAGAGAUUGGCGGGGGGGC
This 404-nucleotide ribosomal RNA is filed under the name uncultured prokaryote. RNAcentral describes it as "partial 16S ribosomal RNA". The record is from RNAcentral.